UACAGAGGGGGCGAGCGUUAUUCGGAAUUAUUGGGCGUAAAGGGCGCGUAGGCGGCUUUGCAAGUGACGGGUGAAAGCCCUCGGCUUAACCGAGGAACUGCCUGUCAGACUGUGAGGCUUGAGACCGGGAGAGGUGAGUGGAAUUCCCAGUGUAGCGGUGAAAUGCGUAGAUAUUGGGAGGAACACCAGUGGCGAAGGCGGCUCACUGGACCGGAACUGACGCUGAGGCGCGAAGGCGUGGGGAGCGAACGGG
RNAcentral lists this ribosomal RNA (253 nucleotides) under uncultured bacterium. RNAcentral describes it as "partial 16S ribosomal RNA". It matches the Rfam family "Bacterial small subunit ribosomal RNA", at positions 524 to 776 of the family's 1533-position model. The record is from RNAcentral.